This 360-nucleotide ribosomal RNA is filed under the name uncultured bacterium. RNAcentral describes it as "bacterial SSU rRNA". It matches the Rfam family "Bacterial small subunit ribosomal RNA", at positions 1140 to 1499 of the family's 1533-position model. The record is from RNAcentral.
CUAGAGAGACUGCCGGGGAUAACUCGGAGGAAGGUGGGGAUGACGUCAAAUCAUCAUGCCCCUUAUGUUCAGGGCUACACACGUGCUACAAUGGCCGAUACAAAGGGCUGCGAAGGAGUAAUCUGGAGCCAAUCCCAUAAAGUCGGUCCCAGUUCGGAUUGUGGGCUGAAACUCGCCCACAUGAAGUUGGAGUUGCUAGUAAUCGCGAAUCAGAAUGUCGCGGUGAAUGCGUUCCCGGGUCUUGUACACACCGCCCGUCACACCAUGGGAGUCGGAAGCGCCCGAAGCCAGCUAUCUAACCUUUUGGAGGAAGCUGUCGAAGGUGAAGUCGAUGACUGGGGUGAAGUCGUAACAAGGUAG